GACGAACGCUGGCGGCGUGCUUAACACAUGCAAGUUGAACGGAAAGGCCCUGCUUUUGUGGGGUGCUCGAGUGGCGAACGGGUGAGUAACACGUGAGUAACCUGCCCUUGACUUUGGGAUAACUUCAGGAAACUGGGGCUAAUACCGGAUAGGAGCUCCUGCUGCAUGGUGGGGGCUGGAAAGUUUCGGCGGUUGGGGAUGGACUCGCGGCUUAUCAGCUUGUUGGUGGGGUAGUGGCUUACCAAGGCUUUGACGGGUAGCCGGCCUGAGAGGGUGACCGGCCACAUUGGGACUGAGAUACGGCCCAGACUCCUACGGGAGGCAGCAGUGGGGAAUAUUGCACAAUGGGCGGAAGCCUGAUGCAGCAACGCCGCGUGCGGGAUGACGGCCUUCGGGUUGUAAACCGCUUUCGCCUGUGACGAAGCGUGAGUGACGGUAAUGGGUAAAGAAGCACCGGCUAACUACGUG
RNAcentral lists this ribosomal RNA (468 nucleotides) under uncultured bacterium. Its description in RNAcentral is "partial 16S ribosomal RNA". It matches the Rfam family "Bacterial small subunit ribosomal RNA", at positions 28 to 507 of the family's 1533-position model. The record is from RNAcentral.